UACGUAGGGUGCGAGCGUUGUCCGGAAUUAUUGGGCGUAAAGAGCUUGUAGGCGGUUUGUCGCGUCUGCUGUGAAAUUCCAGGGCUUAACCCUGGGCUUGCAGUGGGUACGGGCAGACUAGAGUGUGGUAGGGGGAGACUGGAAUUCCUGGUGUAGCGGUGAAAUGCGCAGAUAUCAGGAGGAACACCGAUGGCGAAGGCAGGUCUCUGGGCCACUACUGACGCUGAGAAGCGAAAGCAUGGGGAGCGAACAGG
Molecule: ribosomal RNA, 254 nt
Filed under: uncultured bacterium
Lineage: Bacteria
Description: partial 16S ribosomal RNA
Rfam family: Bacterial small subunit ribosomal RNA
Source: RNAcentral